This 301-nucleotide ribosomal RNA is filed under the name uncultured bacterium. RNAcentral describes it as "partial 16S ribosomal RNA". It matches the Rfam family "Bacterial small subunit ribosomal RNA", at positions 509 to 807 of the family's 1533-position model. The record is from RNAcentral.
CAGCCGCCGCGGUAAUACGUAGGUGGCAAGCGUUGUCCGGAAUUAUUGGGCGUAAAGGGCUCGCAGGCGGUUUCUUAAGUCUGAUGUGAAAGUCCCCGGCUCAACCGGGGAGGGUCAUUGCAAGCUGGGAAACUUGAGUGCAGAAGAGGAGAGUGGAAUUCCACGUGUAGCGGUGAAAUGCGUAGAGAUGUGGAGGAACGCCAGUGGCGAAGGCGACUCUCUGGUCUGUAACUGACGCUGAGGAGCGAAAGCGUGGGGAGCGAACAGGAUUAGAUACCCCCGUAGUCCCUGUCUCUUAUAC